RNAcentral lists this non-coding RNA (29 nucleotides) under Mus musculus (house mouse). Lineage: Eukaryota; Metazoa; Chordata; Mammalia; Rodentia; Muridae. The record is from RNAcentral.
UAAAUGUUAAUUGUGUGCCCCUUAAGUCU